ACAGAGGGUGCAAGCGUUAAUCGGAAUUACUGGGCGUAAAGCGUGCGUAGUCGGUUAUCUAAGUCGGAUGUGAAAUCCCCGGGCUCAACCUGGGAAUUGCAUUCGAUACUGGAUAGCUAGAGUUCGGCAGAGGGAAGCGGAAUUUCGGGUGUAGCGGUGAAAUGCGUAGAUAUCCGAAGGAACAUCAGUGGCGAAAGCGGCUUCCUGGACCAGAACUGACGAUCAGGCACGAAAGCGUGGGGAGCAAACAGGAUUAGAUACCCUGGUAGUCCACGCCAUAAACGAUGACAACUAGACGUUGGGGACAUAUGGUCCACAGUGUCGCAGCUAACGCGUUAAGUUGUCCGCCUGGGGAGUACGGCCGCAAGGUUG
This 372-nucleotide ribosomal RNA is filed under the name uncultured bacterium. Its description in RNAcentral is "bacterial SSU rRNA". It matches the Rfam family "Bacterial small subunit ribosomal RNA", at positions 525 to 896 of the family's 1533-position model. The record is from RNAcentral.